UAUGUGAUCGUCUCUCGCAUAUCAAUAAGCGGAGGAAAAGAAACUAACAAGGAUUCCCCUAGUAACGGCGAGUGAAGCGGGAAGAGCUCAAAUUUGAAAGUCUUAAAGGGUUUCCCUUUACGAAUUGUAGUUUAAAGAAGUGUUUUCUGUUGAGGUUUUGGUAAAAGUUCUUUGGAAUAGGACAUCAUAGAGGGUGAGAAUCCCGUACUUGACCUUUACUUUCCAACUUUGUGAUUACACUUUCAAAGAGUCGGAUUGUUUGGGAAUGCAGUCCAAAAUGGGUGGUAAAUUUCAUCUAAAGCUAAAUAUUGGCGAGAGACCGAUAGCGAACAAGUACCGUGAGGGAAAGAUGAAAAGAACUUUGAAAAGAGAGUUAAACAGUACGUGAAAUUGUCAAAAGGGAGGCGUUUGACACCAGUGUUGUUUUUCUGAAAAUCAAUUAAAGAACUGUUUAUGCUAAGCUGUUUAGACUUUAUCAGCUAACUAUUUAGUUUUGAGCUUUUCUUUAAUGCACUUUUCAGUUAACAAGUCAACAUCAAUUUCUUUUGCUGUAAAAAAGCUUGAGGAAGGUGGCUUGAGAUUCGUCUUAAGUGUUUAUAGCCUCUUGCCUAUGCAGUCGGAGAGAUUGAGGUCUGCAGCGUAGAUCCUUCGGGGCUAAAUGCAUUUGUGCUAAGUUAUAGCGUUUUAUAGACAACUUGUUGACUAUGAUUUGUCUUGUAGCUUACUCGCUUAUGUUAUUUUACCUACGCUUAGGAUGUUGAACGCGCACAGAGUCUC
Molecule: ribosomal RNA, 777 nt
Filed under: uncultured Neocallimastigales
Lineage: Eukaryota; Fungi; Neocallimastigomycota; Neocallimastigomycetes; Neocallimastigales
Description: partial large subunit ribosomal RNA
Rfam family: Eukaryotic large subunit ribosomal RNA
Source: RNAcentral